GCUUUUCUCUGCUUUUGUGUCAAAAGAGAAGAAGGGAGUUUGGAGAGGGAAAGGAAUUCUGUUCAAUACUAAGCUCUCUUCCUCAAAAUCAGAGGUCGAGGCUGAGCUGGAGUUAAUCUGUGGCGACAUGCUGGAGGUACUAGACAAACACCUCAUUCCAGCAGCUACCACUGCCCCCAUUCACUGGGGAGAAUGGAAAGAAAACAACUGACAACAUCCUCAAAUGUAAACUCAAUUUGCCUCCCUACCUCACACAAGAAGCCAGAGAUCUGCUUAAAAAGGCUCAUCCAUUCUUUAGACACAUUAACUGGGAAGAACUUCUGGCUGGAAAGGUGGAGCCCCCCCCCCCUUUAAACCUCUGUUGGUAAGUAUACAUGAAAGCAUAUAAUUGGGUGCAAGGGCUCAUACCUGUAAUCCCAAAACUUUAAAGGGC
Molecule: non-coding RNA, 433 nt
Organism: Macaca mulatta (Rhesus monkey)
Lineage: Eukaryota; Metazoa; Chordata; Mammalia; Primates; Cercopithecidae
Source: RefSeq, a predicted model, not a curated record